RNAcentral lists this unclassified non-coding RNA (388 nucleotides) under Hevea brasiliensis (rubber tree). Lineage: Eukaryota; Viridiplantae; Streptophyta; Magnoliopsida; Malpighiales; Euphorbiaceae. The record is from RNAcentral.
AUUUAGUAAGUGCGACUUCCGUAGGGAAGUAAGAACAAAUGUGUUAAAUUAACUUCAAAAUUCUUUGCUAAAAUUAAUACAUGUUAAUAAAUUGAUGGAUACUAUUGUAGUUCACAUCAUACUACCUAGGAGUUAAGUGGGCAAUCCGAACAUGAAGUCUUGGGAUGAAAACGUGCAAACCAAAUGAUAUGUAGAAAUAAUAGCCUGGGAAGUAUCAUUUCUCUAGAAGUGAACAUAGUUGAACUAAACAAGACCUAUAUUCUCAUUCCCAUGGAAAUGAGGUCUACCAUGUGACAUUUGUUGUCCCACAUUGUUUGGGAUAAGGUAAGAGUUCAAAUAUAUUGGCUUGGGCAAUCCUUCCCCAUUGAGCUAGCUUUUGGGGUUGAGU